RNAcentral lists this ribosomal RNA (555 nucleotides) under uncultured bacterium. Its description in RNAcentral is "bacterial SSU rRNA". It matches the Rfam family "Bacterial small subunit ribosomal RNA", at positions 353 to 896 of the family's 1533-position model. The record is from RNAcentral.
AGUGGGGAAUAUUGGACAAUGGGCGAAAGCCUGAUCCAGCAAUGCCGCGUGUGUGAAGAAGGCCUGCGGGUUGUAAGGCACUUUUGUCAGGGAAGAAACGGCCUGGGUUAAUACCCCAUGGCAAUUGACGGUACCUGAAGAAUAAGCAUCGGCUAACUCCGUGCCAGCAGCCGCGGUAAUACGGAGGGUGCAAGCGUUAAUCGGAAUUACUGGGCGUAAAGCGUGCGCAGGCGGCUGAUUAAGUCGGAUGUGAAAGCCCCGGGCUUAACCUGGGAAUGGCAUUCGAUACUGGUCAGCUAGAGUCUGGUAGAGGUAAGCGGAAUUCCGGGUGUAGCGGUGAAAUGCGUAGAUAUCCGGAGGAACAUCAGUGGCGAAGGCGGCUUACUGGACCAAGACUGACGCUCAGGCACGAAAGCGUGGGUAGCAAACAGGAUUAGAUACCCUGGUAGUCCACGCCCUAAACGAUGUCAACUAGCCGUUGGGUCCCCUUAAUAGGACUUAGUGGCGAAGCUAACGCGUUAAGUUGACCGCCUGGGGAGUACGGCCGCAAGGUUG